CGACCGCUGGCGGCGUGCUUAACACAUGCACGUCGAACGGAAAGGCCCCUUUGGGGGUACUCGAGUGGCGAACGGGUGAGUAACACGUGAGUAACCUGCCCUUGACUUCGGGAUAACUUCAGGAAACUGGGGCUAAUACCGGAUAGGAAUCCUUGCUGCAUGGUGGGGGUUGGAAAGCUUCGGCGGUUUUGGAUGGACUCGCGGCUUAUCAGCUUGUUGGUGGGGUAGUGGCUUACCAAGGCUUUGACGGGUAGCCGGCCUGAGAGGGCGACCGGCCACAUUGGGACUGAGAUACGGCCCAGACUCCUACGGGAGGCAGCAGUGGGGAAUAUUGCACAAUGGGCGGAAGCCUGAUGCAGCAACGCCGCGUGCGGGAGGACGGCCUUCGGGUUGUAAACCGCUUUCAGCAGGGGCGAAGCUUGUGGUGACGGUACCUGCAGAAGAAGCACCGGCUAACUACGUG
This 463-nucleotide ribosomal RNA is filed under the name uncultured bacterium. Its description in RNAcentral is "partial 16S ribosomal RNA". It matches the Rfam family "Bacterial small subunit ribosomal RNA", at positions 30 to 507 of the family's 1533-position model. The record is from RNAcentral.